AAUAAAUUGCAAUAUUUCCUUGACCGUCGUCAGCCAUAACUUCCCUCAAUCACGUUUUUGUUUUGUGCCACGUAAUCACUGUAAAUACCAACAAGCAACAAUCAAACAGAGGAGGGACGUACUUGUCAUGAGGAUACUAUGGGUGUGGGUUUUGUGGUUGUGAUUUCGCUGCGACAAGAUGCCGCUUUGGCAGUUCGAAAGAUCAGCGACUUUGAUGUCCUCCAGGUGCAAUGAUGAUUAUUAUGAGGAAGCAGCCACUAUAGCACCAACACACCAAAGCAAGAUGGGUCGCCAGGCACCUAUGCCGGGACGAGAUCAGCCAACCCGCGUACGUGUUACGUGCAUACACUGUUGGGCGCGAAUCGGCGGGGGGAGAUCGUUCCAGCAACGCGUCGCAGCGAACCUGAAGGAGCCACGGAAUGCGACUGUUCGAUGCCUAGGUGUGGAGAAAAUGGACCCGCGACUGUUAGUCAUAUGUUUGGCAGACCGAAAACCCUGCCAAGGUCGACCAGAGUGCGAAUUUGGUACACCUGCGCACCA
This is a long non-coding RNA of Ostrinia nubilalis (European corn borer), 540 nucleotides long. RefSeq lists it as uncharacterized. The record is from RefSeq and is a predicted model, not a curated record. The transcript has 4 exons. Lineage: Eukaryota; Metazoa; Arthropoda; Insecta; Lepidoptera; Crambidae.